UGACCUCAAAUCAGGUAAGACUACCCGCUGAACUUAAGCAUAUCAAUAAGCGGAGGA
This 57-nucleotide ribosomal RNA is filed under the name Basidiomycota sp. PCT.10. RNAcentral describes it as "partial 28S ribosomal RNA". It matches the Rfam family "Eukaryotic large subunit ribosomal RNA", at positions 1 to 57 of the family's 3401-position model. The record is from RNAcentral. Lineage: Eukaryota; Fungi; Basidiomycota.